RNAcentral lists this unclassified non-coding RNA (228 nucleotides) under Hevea brasiliensis (rubber tree). Lineage: Eukaryota; Viridiplantae; Streptophyta; Magnoliopsida; Malpighiales; Euphorbiaceae. The record is from RNAcentral.
CGAUGACAUCCUCUGCCUCGUAUGCUAUUCUCUGAUUUCAGCUAUGCAAUUGCGAACACGCUCAUCUUGAUCCUGCUUGCUGUCUGCAUCUUUCAAGAAGCACUGAAUCCGCUUCAAUUCAGUUUUCAACUGCUCAACUUCAUCCCUCACACCAUAAAAUGAGCUUGCUUCAUGAACCACUGCAUCAGCAAUUCUUUCAAUGGCAAAGGAAACAAUAGCCUCGACCAA